GGGCUACCCCUAGUGGCUUCGGCACAAAUCGGCAGGCGGGCGGGCGCAACCCAGCUGCUAAUUUCCUGGAAUUUUGGAGCAGACUUUCCCAGCCCGGAGGGAGAGUAGGACAAGUUCAACGAUCUCCUCUCCCUCGCACUGAUCCUUUACACAACUGAUGUCCCUCAAAUCGAGUUUAAACAGCCAAGUUUUCAGCCUACCCCUCUCCGACAGCUUUCUUCGAGGAAUAAAGCAAAAGAAAAGGCAGCGAGGCCGCCACAAACCCGUCCCCAAAAGGAAGAAGUGCAACAGGGGGGAAAAGCAGCUGUUUCUAAACUCUCGCCUCUGCCCUAGAGGAAGAUCGACUAUGGGCUUUUUAAAAAAAGAAAAUCGGUUCUUUGUGCCGAACGAGCCGUUGUUUAUAAACUUAUUUCGGGAUGGGAUGGAGAGCGAAGGAACUCCAGAAAAAUCUGGGAAUCGGAGGGCGCUUUAGCCAGUUCAAGGUCACUGCCUAGGUUAUGAAAUGGCUUCUUCAUCUUAUGCAAAUGAGGGUCUUAAAAGACACCCCAGCUCUUCCGAGAGAGAGAAAGAGAGAGAGGGGGGGGGAGCGCUCCCCCCCCCAACUUGGGUGCUUUCUGAAGCUUUGUUCGUGAUCUUUUUCAGCGGUCCUAAAUAGGCAUUCUAGUUUUUGGCUGGCAGAUCGCUCUACCCUCCGCAUUGAUCUUAGCGAAGUUCUCGCAUCCCCUGGUGCUUCGCUGUCUCCUAAACUAGCUUUUGGGGAAAGAGCGGGAGGAGAAGGGCUGGAACUCAAUAAUGGUGCUUUCUUGAUUACUCUCCAUCAAGCAAUUAAAAUAUCAACUUUUUAGAAGUA
Non-coding RNA from Pantherophis guttatus, 850 nucleotides. Lineage: Eukaryota; Metazoa; Chordata; Lepidosauria; Squamata; Colubridae. The record is from RefSeq and is a predicted model, not a curated record.